This 490-nucleotide ribosomal RNA is filed under the name uncultured bacterium. Its description in RNAcentral is "partial 16S ribosomal RNA". It matches the Rfam family "Bacterial small subunit ribosomal RNA", at positions 30 to 507 of the family's 1533-position model. The record is from RNAcentral.
AUUGAACGCUGGCGGCAGGCCUAACACAUGCAAGUCGAACGGUAACAGGAAGAAGCUUGCUUCUUUGCUGACGAGUGGCGGACGGGUGAGUAAUGUCUGGGAAACUGCCUGAUGGAGGGGGAUAACUACUGGAAACGGUGGCUAAUACGCCAAAACUUCCCAAGACCAAAAAGGGGGACCUUCGGGCCCCUUGCCUUCGGUUUUGCCCAGAUGGGAUUAGCUAGUAGGUGGGGUAACGGCCCACCUAGGCGACGAUCCCUAGCUGGUCUGAGAGGAUGACCAGCCACACUGGAACUGAGACACGGUCCAGACUCCUACGGGAGGCAGCAGUGGGGAAUAUUGCACAAUGGGCGCAAGCCUGAUGCAGCCAUGCCGCGUGUAUGAAGAAGGCCUUCGGGUUGUAAAGUACUUUCAGCGGGGAGGAAGGGAGUAAAGUUAAUACCUUUGCUCAUUGACGUUACCCGCAGAAGAAGCACCGGCUAACUCCGUG